CUUUCAUGGGUAAAAUUGACCUAUCCGAAUUUUUUUACUGCAAGGGGCGUACCCAUCAGAAUAUUGCUGACACUUAAAAAUACAAUACAAGAUAAUAUAUGAUACACAACUGUCUAGAUACCAAAGAACUCCUGAUAAAAACUACAAUUGUUAUACGUGUGCAUGUAAAAUAGAAUUCUUUAAGAGGGGUCUAAAUACAGCACAAAUAAUAUUUUCCAAAAGACCAAAGAAGACUAAACGCAUUUGACUAACAGGUCGAACAUCUGAUGUUCUUAAAGCCUGCUGACUGCCAUUGGCGAUUGCCAAUUGAAUAGAUCAUAAGAUGUAACAAAUGGAUCUUUAUACUAAUUAACUACCAAACAUAAAACAAUAAACUUGAGGCAAAGAUGGUAAACCACAUUUGGAGGGUAUUAUAACUUACCUCAAUUUAGGAUAGACUCUUGAGGUUUUUCUGGUCAACAAC
This 463-nucleotide long non-coding RNA is filed under the name Mytilus galloprovincialis (Mediterranean mussel). Lineage: Eukaryota; Metazoa; Mollusca; Bivalvia; Mytilida; Mytilidae. The record is from RNAcentral.